This 98-nucleotide small nuclear RNA is filed under the name Jaculus jaculus (lesser Egyptian jerboa). Lineage: Eukaryota; Metazoa; Chordata; Mammalia; Rodentia; Dipodidae. The record is from RNAcentral.
AAAAUAUUUUUAAAAAUAAAAUUGGAAAGACACAGAGAAGAUUAGAGUGUCCCUUGCAUAAGGAUGACAUGCUAAUCUGUGAAGUUUUCCAUACUUUU